UAACGCUGGCGGCGUGCUUAACACAUGCAAGUCGCACGAGAACACCUCAGCUUGCUGGGGUAAGUAAAGUGGCGCACGGGUGAGUAACGCGUGGGUAAUCUGCCCUCGAAUCUGGGAUAACCCCGCGAAAGCGGGGCUAAUACCGGAUGAAAUCCAGUUAGCUUUGGCUAUAUGGAUCAAAGGUGGCCUCUGCAUGCAAGCUACUGUUUGGGGAUGAGCCCGCGUACCAUUAGCUUGUUGGUGGGGUAAAGGCCCACCAAGGCGACGAUGGUUAGCUGGUCUGAGAGGAUGAUCAGCCACACUGGAACUGGAACACGGUCCAGACUCCUACGGGAGGCAGCAGUGAGGAAUUUUGCGCAAUGGGGGUAACCCUGACGCAGCAACGCCGCGUGAGUGAUGAAGGCCUUCGGGUCGUAAAGCUCUGUCAAGUGGGAAGAACCCAUUCCGGCACAACAAGCCGGGGUGCUGACGGUACCACUGAAGGAAGCACCGGCUAACUCCGUGCCAGCAGCCGCGGUAAUACGGAGGGUGCGAGCGUUAUUCGGAAUUACUGGGCGUAAAGGGCGCGUAGGCGGCCGAUUAAGUCAGAUGUGAAAUCCCGGGGCUUACCCCCGGAAGUGCAUUUGAUACUGAACGGCUUGAGUAUGGGAGAGGGAAGUGGAAUUCCUGGUGUAGCGGUGAAAUGCGUAGAUAUCAGGAGGAACACCGGUGGCGAAGGCGACUUCCUGGACCAAUACUGACGCUGA
This 746-nucleotide ribosomal RNA is filed under the name uncultured organism. RNAcentral describes it as "bacterial SSU rRNA". It matches the Rfam family "Bacterial small subunit ribosomal RNA", at positions 31 to 749 of the family's 1533-position model. The record is from RNAcentral.